GAUGAAGAACGCAGCGAAAUGCGAUAAGUAAUGCGAAUUGCAGAAUUCAGUGAAUCAUCGAAUCUUUGAACGCGCAUUGCGUCCGCCAGUAUUCUGGCGGGCAUGCCUGUCUGAGCGUCGUUUCGACCCUCGCGCCCGGCUUCUGUCGGGGGCGGUGUUGGGGAUCGGCCACACCCUUCAGUGGGAGGCCGGCCCCUAAAUUCAGUGGCGACCACGCUGUAGCCUCCCCUGCGUAGUACUAAAACCACCUCGCACGCGGAGAGCGGUGCGGCCCGCCGUAAAACCCCCCAACUUUUACAAGGUCGACCUCAGAUCAGGUAGGAAUACCCGCUGAACUUAAGCAUAUCAAUAAGCGGAGGA
This 360-nucleotide unclassified non-coding RNA is filed under the name soil metagenome. RNAcentral's name for it is "partial contains 5.8S ribosomal RNA, internal transcribed spacer 2, and large subunit ribosomal RNA". The stretch from base 1 to 120 matches the Rfam family "5.8S ribosomal RNA", at positions 35 to 154 of the family's 154-position model. The record is from RNAcentral.